UGCUCCCGGAUGUUAGCGGCGGACGGGUGAGUAACACGUGGGUAACCUGCCUGUAAGACUGGGAUAACUCCGGGAAACCGGAGCUAAUACCGGAUAGUUCCUUGAACCGCAUGGUUCAAGGAUGAAAGACGGUUUCGGCUGUCACUUACAGAUGGACCCGCGGCGCAUUAGCUAGUUGGUGGGGUAAUGGCUCACCAAGGCGACGAUGCGUAGCCGACCUGAGAGGGUGAUCGGCCACACUGGGACUGAGACACGGCCCAGACUCCUACGGGAGGCAGCAGUAGGGAAUCUUCCGCAAUGGACGAAAGUCUGACGGAGCAACGCCGCGUGAGUGAUGAAGGUUUUCGGAUCGUAAAGCUCUGUUGUUAGGGAAGAACAAGUGCGAGAGUAACUGCUCGCACCUUGACGGUACCUAACCAGAAAGCCACGGCUAACUACGUGCCAGCAGCCGCGGUAAUACGUAGGUGGCAAGCGUUGUCCGGAAUUAUUGGGCGUAAAGGGCUCGCAGGCGGUUUCUUAAGUCUGAUGUGAAAGCCCCCGGCUCAACCGGGGAGGGUCAUUGGAAACUGGGAAACUUGAGUGCAGAAGAGGAGAGUGGAAUUCCACGUGUAGCGGUGAAAUGCGUAGAGAUGUGGAGGAACACCAGUGGCGAAGGCGACUCUCUGGUCUGUAACUGACGC
This 680-nucleotide ribosomal RNA is filed under the name Bacillus pumilus. RNAcentral describes it as "bacterial SSU rRNA". It matches the Rfam family "Bacterial small subunit ribosomal RNA", at positions 80 to 746 of the family's 1533-position model. The record is from RNAcentral. Lineage: Bacteria; Bacillati; Bacillota; Bacilli; Caryophanales; Bacillaceae.